AAACAAGGCCCCAAACAAGCGCACAUCUGUGCAGCUUGAGCGUUGAAAACAACCAUCCAUAUCCUAGAGGGAGUUACAUACUUUCAGCUCCUUGCUUUACAGUUAAUUUCAAGUAGAAUCUCUCUUCAUUUAUUGUACAAAUGAUUAGUGCUUUCUGCUUGGCACUCUGCUAAUGGGAAAAGGAAGAUAAAUUAGACAGGAUUCCGCUUUCAAGGAGUUCAAAGAUAGAAAGCAGUGUGUGCGUGCUCAGUCUCUUCACUCAGGUCUGAGUGUUUGCGACCCUCUGGACUGCAACCCACCAGGCUCCUCUGUCGAUGGGAUUCUCCAGGCAAGAAUACUGGAGUGGGGUUGUCAUGCCCUCUUCCAGGGGAAUCUUCCCAACCCAGAGAUCGAACCAGAGUCUCCCACGUCUCCUGCAUUGCAGGCGGAUUCUUAAUCCACUGAGCCACCUAGAAAGCAGUAUUGUAAGCAGCUGCCUGUUUGAUAUCCAUGGAAGGGAUUUUGCUCACCAUGGUGACAGGAGUGAUUGCAUUUCAUCCUCACUCAGUCAGUCUUCCCUUUGGCUUCUGAGCUAUGCAGGGGGCUGAGAGAGAUGGGUCCUUUGGCAAAAAGACAUCUGUGCUUUCUUCUUUCCCUUCAAGACUGAAUGUCAUGAUUUAGAACACACAAAUGUAAUUUCAGCUUUGACUGCCUGCUGGUUUAUUUCAUACACCUGCUUUUGGAAGAAGGAGAGCAGGAUUUUAAGAGGACAUUUUGAGGCCAGAACUGACAUUUGACCUGAUACAUCCCACAGGAACAUGAAAAACAAAAGCACUUAUUCAUAUAGGGUGAUUUAAACAAUGAAGGAACACAUUUGCAAUUAUAUUUACAUAUCAACACUUAGACUUGUUUCUUUCCUUGCUCUUUUUUCUUUUUCUUGUCAUGAAUCAAAAGUUAAAGAUUUCCUUUUUUUGUAUGUAUAGCCCUAUAUCAAAUCCUGUAUUGAUUUAUAAGUUAAACUUUGGUUUUUACUUCAAAUGUUUUAAUGUCUCUACACAAUAUUUUAAGUUUUGGGGCUUAUGUAUAAACUAUCUAUGAAAAUCUGCAUAUAAAGUUUCUAGUAUGUGUGAACUCAGUUGUUUCUAACUAAAAUAUCUCCUAUUGAAAAUGUAUUCUUUUAUUUCUGAGUGUUAAGCAAUUCCAAAGACAAAACUUAUAAAGAACCAUCCUGAAUGGUUUUGCUAAAAGUGUGACAGCUAAUAAAUUCAAGAUUGAUUUAACA
This is a long non-coding RNA of Bos indicus x Bos taurus (hybrid cattle), 1261 nucleotides long. Lineage: Eukaryota; Metazoa; Chordata; Mammalia; Artiodactyla; Bovidae. The record is from Ensembl.